RNAcentral lists this unclassified non-coding RNA (337 nucleotides) under soil metagenome. RNAcentral's name for it is "partial contains 5.8S ribosomal RNA, internal transcribed spacer 2, and large subunit ribosomal RNA". The stretch from base 1 to 120 matches the Rfam family "5.8S ribosomal RNA", at positions 35 to 154 of the family's 154-position model. The record is from RNAcentral.
GAUGAAGAACGUAGCGAAAUGCGAUAAGUAGUGUGAAUUGCAGAAUUCAGUGAAUCAUCGAAUCUUUGAACGCACAUUGCGCCCCUUGGUAUUCCAUGGGGCAUGCCUGUUCGAGCGUCAUUUGUACCUUCAAGCUCUGCUUGGUGUUGGGUGUUUGUCUCGCCUCUGCGUGUAGACUCGCCUCAAAACAAUUGGCAGCCGGCGUAUUGAUUUCGGAGCGCAGUACAUCUCGCGCUUUGCACUCAUAACGACGACGUCCAAAAGUACAUUUUUACACUCUUGACCUCGGAUCAGGUAGGGAUGCCCGCUGAACUUAAGCAUAUCAAUAAGCGGAGGA